AAAAAGAUAAGCUAAAAAAAGCUUAUGGGUUCAUACCCCAUCUAUAAAGGAUAAACCUUUUCUUUUUA
This 68-nucleotide transfer RNA is filed under the name Trigonopterus sp. 7 AH-2016. RNAcentral describes it as "tRNA-Met". The record is from RNAcentral. Lineage: Eukaryota; Metazoa; Arthropoda; Insecta; Coleoptera; Curculionidae.